ACGAACGCUGGCGGCGUGCCUAAUACAUGCAAGUCGAGCGGACCGACGGGAGCUUGCUCCCUUAGGUCAGCGGCGGACGGGUGAGUAACACGUGGGUAACCUUCCUGUAAGACUGGGAUAACUCCGGGAAACCGGGGCUAAUACCGGAUGCUUGAUUGAACCGCAUGGUUCAAUCAUAAAAGGUGGCUUUCAGCUACCACUUACAGAUGGACCCGCGGCGCAUUAGCUAGUUGGUGAGGUAACGGCUCACCAAGGCGACGAUGCGUAGCCGACCUGAGAGGGUGAUCGGCCACACUGGGACUGAGACACGGCCCAGACUCCUACGGGAGGCAGCAGUAGGGAAUCUUCCGCAAUGGACGAAAGUCUGACGGAGCAACGCCGCGUGAGUGAUGAAGGUUUUCGGAUCGUAAAACUCUGUUGUUAGGGAAGAACAAGUACCGUUCGAAUAGGGCGGCACCUUGACGGUACCUAACCAGAAAGCCACGGCUAACUACGUGCCAGCAGCCGCGGUAAUACGUAGGUGGCAAGCGUUGUCCGGAAUUAUUGGGCGUAAAGCGCGCGCAGGCGGUUUCUUAAGUCUGAUGUGAAAGCCCCCGGCUCAACCGGGGAGGGUCAUUGGAAACUGGGGAACUUGAGUGCAGAAGAGGAGAGUGGAAUUCCACGUGUAGCGGUGAAAUGCGUAGACAUGUGGAGGACACCAGUGGCGAAGGCGACUCUCUGG
Molecule: ribosomal RNA, 721 nt
Filed under: uncultured Bacilli bacterium
Lineage: Bacteria; Bacillati; Bacillota; Bacilli
Description: bacterial SSU rRNA
Rfam family: Bacterial small subunit ribosomal RNA
Source: RNAcentral